This 270-nucleotide ribosomal RNA is filed under the name uncultured archaeon. RNAcentral describes it as "partial 16S ribosomal RNA". It matches the Rfam family "Archaeal small subunit ribosomal RNA", at positions 477 to 747 of the family's 1478-position model. The record is from RNAcentral.
CAGCACCUCAAGUGGUCAGGAUGAUUAUUGGGCCUAAAGCAUCCGUAGCCGGCUCUGUAAGUUUUCGGUUAAAUCUGUACGCUUAACGUACAGGCUGCCGGGAAUACUGCAGAGCUAGGGAGUGGGAGAGGUAGACGGUACUCGAUAGGAAGGGGUAAAAUCCUUUGAUCUAUUGAUGACCACCUGUGGCGAAGGCGGUCUACCAGAACACGUCCGACGGUGAGGGAUGAAAGCUGGGGGAGCAAACCGGAUUAGAGACCCGAGUAGUCC